RNAcentral lists this ribosomal RNA (489 nucleotides) under uncultured bacterium. RNAcentral describes it as "partial 16S ribosomal RNA". It matches the Rfam family "Bacterial small subunit ribosomal RNA", at positions 30 to 507 of the family's 1533-position model. The record is from RNAcentral.
AUUGAACGCUGGCGGCAGGCCUAACACAUGCAAGUCGAACGGUAACAGGAAGCAGCUUGCUGCUUUGCUGACGAGUGGCGGACGGGUGAGUAAUGUCUGGGAAACUGCCCGAUGGAGGGGGAUAACUACUGGAAACGGUAGCUAAUACCGCAUAACGUCGCAAGACCAAAGAGGGGGACCUUAGGGCCUCUUGCCAUCGGAUGUGCCCAGAUGGGAUUAGCUAGUAGGUGGGGUAACGGCUCACCUAGGCGACGAUCCUAGCUGGUCUGAGAGGAUGACCAGCCACACUGGAACUGAGACACGGUCCAGACUCCUACGGGAGGCAGCAGUGGGGAAUAUUGCACAAUGGGCGCAAGCCUGAUGCAGCCAUGCCGCGUGUAUGAAGAAGGCCUUCGGGUUGUAAAGUACUUUCAGCGGGGAGGAAGGGAGUAAAGUUAAUACCUUUGCUCAUUGACGUUACCCGCAGAAGAAGCACCGGCUAACUCCGUG